This 282-nucleotide unclassified non-coding RNA is filed under the name Hevea brasiliensis (rubber tree). The record is from RNAcentral. Lineage: Eukaryota; Viridiplantae; Streptophyta; Magnoliopsida; Malpighiales; Euphorbiaceae.
UAAUUGUAUUUAUGGGUUACAAAGAGCUAGGUAGUUAAGCGUAAUUAAAAGAAAUUUACAACAGCAUGAUAAGGAUAGAACAAACAUGACAACCUCAACCUGUUAGCAAGUGACUGUGAUUAUCUCUAGACAAUAAAUACCACUACUGUAUAAACACCGUUACUGCAAGCUAUGCACAAUACUAAAGAAUACCAACAACCAAAGCUGCAAUAACCAAAUAAAGGGAACCAGUAUAUUUCGGGGAGCCUUCAUUAGAACCAUGGUGCUGGUGAUGGUUCAUAG